This is a non-coding RNA of Dermacentor andersoni, 1444 nucleotides long. The record is from RefSeq and is a predicted model, not a curated record. NCBI's taxonomy places the organism in Eukaryota, Metazoa, Arthropoda, Arachnida, Ixodida, Ixodidae.
AACACAUGCUUCUAUCUUGUGCUUAAUGACUAAGCAGUAGCAUCUGAACAUCUGCGGUGAUCGCAUGGUGUUCACUUUUGCUUUUAUUCACAUAGGGUACGGAAGAAUCGAUGAAGGUCGCAAGGCAGUACAUCUCAACAGAUAGCUGGUAAGUAAGCGUUUUGUGUCAACGAUCGUAACUAUCUCCGAAUGUAGGUCCUGGUUUAAAUCGAAGGUGGUAUGUAACAGAGGCUCGCUUUUUUUCUGCCACACAUUGCUGCGCAUUGAUAGAUUCACCCUGCGGGCGGUACAGAUACUUCUGCUGGAUGUAACUUGCACGAGAAAAGCUUUUUUUUUUGGUUACUCAAUUGUGUUAAGUUUAACGUAACACUUAUGUCGUGAUAAAAUAACAACACAUUAAAUAAAUGUAACCGGUUUGUGUUAACGACAUAGUGAUAUCUGAAACGGCACGAUUUGCUGGUAUUAAUUCGUUGCGGUCCGGCGAAAAUCCAGAGCAAGAAGAAAAAAUGGCGGCUGCACCGAAAAGCACGCGAGUUUUGGCGGCGCCGGCCACCAUGCUCAUUGAGUUUAUUGAGCAGCACCCAUACUUAUCUAGAGGUGCCACAAGCCUCUCGCCAAGUAUGAGUGCUGCUCGGAAAAAAGCAAUCUGCGAGGAAAUCGCUGCGGUGCUCAACGCGAUAGGUCCAGCAGUCAAAACAGCCCGGUGCUGGCGCCUGUAUUGGGCGCGCCUGUGUUAUGACUGCCGGAGGAUCGCGGCGCAGGUAGGCACCGAGAAGAGCAGGACAGAUCCAGUGACGAAGAGCGUCCUCCCGCUGAUCCCGUGCGCCCUGCCCCACCAGCAGAUGCCAACGUGUCGAUUGGCACCGAGCCGGGCACAAGUGGCACUGCACCUAAUGCACUUCAGCAACUAUUGCAAUACGAACACAUCACUCAAGGCAACAAAGCAAUGUCUGUUAAGAUGUCUUGAACAGAUAUGAUGUAUUUCUAUUAUUUACUUGGCAAACAAAAGUGCCUGCCUAAAUGUCACUGAAAAAUGGAACAAUAUUCUGUUCGACAAUUAACACCAUUUGUAACGCAGCUUCUGCAACGUACAAGCUGAAAUUACUAUCAGUGUAGCAUUUUAUGAUGCUGUAGUGCCUUUUUGUUUAUGCAAAUUUACUGUUCCUUUUGUGAACGAUUUGCUGCUGGAAUUACUUUUCUGGGGUUCCACCUGAUAAUGAACCAGUAAAAUGUCACGCAGGACUAAGCAAAACUUUUUAUACUGUGUACUGAUUUUAUUUCUAAGGACCAUCGACUCGGCAGCAGCCCCGCAGGCCACCUCGGCAACAGCCACUGGAAGAUGCGGCCUGCAGGGCAGCCGAUGAGUAUGCGUGGCAGGGAAAGCUGGCUGAGGCUGCUAACUUGGAGGCCGCCAACUUCCACCAGCUGCUGCUGCAGCAAAAUA